CAGCCGCCGCGGUAAUACCGGCGGCCCGAGUGGCGGUCACUAUUAUUGGGCUUAAAGCGUCCGUAGCCGGGUUGGGAAGUCCUCCGGGAAAUCUGGCCGCUUAACGGUCAGAAUGCCGGAGGAUACUCCCAGCCUAGGGAGCGGGAGAGGCCGAGGGGAUUCCCGGGGUAGGGGUGAAAUCCUAUAAUCCCGGGAUGACCACCUGUGGCGAAGGCGCUCGGCUGGAACGCGGCCGACGGUGAGGGACGAAGGCCAGGGGAGCAAACCGGAUUAGAUACCCGGGUAGUCCUGGCUGUAAACGAUGCGGACUUUGUGUCGGACAAGCUAUGAGCUUGUCCGGUGCCGGAGGGAAACCGUUAAGUCCGCCGCCUGGGGAGUACGGCCGCAAGGCUGAAACUUAAAGGAAUUGGCGGG
This 414-nucleotide ribosomal RNA is filed under the name uncultured microorganism. RNAcentral describes it as "bacterial SSU rRNA". It matches the Rfam family "Archaeal small subunit ribosomal RNA", at positions 459 to 872 of the family's 1478-position model. The record is from RNAcentral.